CCUACGGGGGGCUGCAGUGGGGAAUAUUGGACAAUGGGGGGAACCCUGAUCCAGCCAUGCCGCGUGUGUGAAGAAGACCCUCGGGUUGUAAAGCACUUUCAGUGAGGAAGAACGCCUGGUGGUUAAUACCCAUCAGGAAAGACAUCACUCACAGAAGAAGCACCGGCUAACUCCGUGCCAGCAGCCGCGGUAAUACGGAGGGUGCGAGCGUUAAUCGGAAUUACUGGGCGUAAAGCGCGCGUAGGUGGCUUGAUAAGCCGGUUGUGAAAGCCCCGGGCUCAACCUGGGAACGGCAUCCGGAACUGUCAAGCUAGAGUGCAGGAGAGGAAGGUAGAAUUCCCGGUGUAGCGGUGAAAUGCGUAGAGAUCGGGAGGAAUACCAGUGGCGAAGGCGGCCUUCUGGACUGACACUGACACUGAGGUGCGAAAGCGUGGGUAGCAAACAGGAUUAGAUACCCGAGUAGUC
RNAcentral lists this ribosomal RNA (465 nucleotides) under Vreelandella stevensii. RNAcentral's name for it is "partial 16S ribosomal RNA". It matches the Rfam family "Bacterial small subunit ribosomal RNA", at positions 338 to 795 of the family's 1533-position model. Lineage: Bacteria; Pseudomonadati; Pseudomonadota; Gammaproteobacteria; Oceanospirillales; Halomonadaceae. The record is from RNAcentral.